AUUGAACGCUGGCGGCAGGCCUAACACAUGCAAGUCGAACGGUAACAGGAAGAAGCUUGCUUCUUUGCUGACGAGUGGCGGACGGGUGAGUAAUGUCUGGGAAACUGCCUGAUGGAGGGGGAUAACUACUGGAAACGGUAGCUAAUACCGCAUAACGUCGCAAGACCAAAGAGGGGGACCUUCGGGCCUCUUGCCAUCGGAUGUGCCCAGAUGGGAUUAGCUAGUAGGUGGGGUAACGGCUCACCUAGGCGACGAUCCCUAGCUGGUCUGAGAGGAGGACCAGCCACACUGGAACUGAGACAGGGUCCAGACUCCUACGGGAGGCAGCAGUGGGGAAUAUUGCACAAUGGGCGCAAGCCUGAUGCAGCCAUGCCGCGUGUAUGAAGAAGGCCUUCGGGUUGUAAAGUACUUUCAGCGGGGAGGAAGGGAGUAAAGUUAAUACCUUUACUCAUUGACGUUACCCGCAGAAGAAGCACCGGCUAACUCCGUG
This 490-nucleotide ribosomal RNA is filed under the name uncultured bacterium. RNAcentral describes it as "partial 16S ribosomal RNA". It matches the Rfam family "Bacterial small subunit ribosomal RNA", at positions 30 to 507 of the family's 1533-position model. The record is from RNAcentral.